Molecule: small RNA, 81 nt
Filed under: Arabidopsis thaliana (thale cress)
Lineage: Eukaryota; Viridiplantae; Streptophyta; Magnoliopsida; Brassicales; Brassicaceae
Description: ATSL247380
Source: RNAcentral
UCUGUUGUCCAGCUUUUUGAAGUCCAUAUUUAAGCUCCUCGAGAUUUAUCUUGCCUCUCUUGUUUACGUCCAUCAUUUCAA